Molecule: non-coding RNA, 2030 nt
Organism: Drosophila melanogaster (fruit fly)
Lineage: Eukaryota; Metazoa; Arthropoda; Insecta; Diptera; Drosophilidae
Source: Ensembl
GACAAAGUAGAACGCCACCUUAAAUUCACUUGCAGACUAAAGUCAGCGUGGAAUUAUCCGAGCCCCACGUCAAUUCUAUCUAGGUGCGAUCUUAUUCCCUUGAAAUGACACCAGCAGCGUCUUAAUCCUUUUGCCAGGACAUGCCAGCCGAGUCCCGAGGACAAUGCCCGGCCACGCGUUUUAAUUAAAUUCUUUUGUCGCAUACAGGCGGCGGGCAUGCAAAAAUCCAACACUCGAACGGGGGCAAAGGGAACGGAAAACGAGAAAAGCGAAAGGAAAGCGCCAGAGUCAGUGGCAGCUGGCUGGGAAAGCGGAAAAUUAAUAAAAAUGCAGAGGAGGAAGCUCGCUCCAGCGAACGCCGAAAUGGGCAGCCAAUCAUAUGUGGGCGUGGCGCCAGCAGAAUGUAAUAAAUGCGCAACUGCGCAUUGUUAGAUGAAUCCUGUGACCCCUACUACGGCAUUGAUUGCAAUCCAUUCAGGCCCAGACAAGCUCUCUCCUCUCACUGAAUCCUCAGCUGAAUCCUCAGCUGCUGUUCAAUUUGCCGUAUUCUAAUUGAGGGCGUCUGCAAAUACAAACACCAGACCACAAGUAACACACAUGCCUAUUGACUUUCGAGGCCGCAGCAUUUGAUGAUGUGGCGACAAUAUUUGAUUGCUUAAUAUUGAAUUAAUUUACCAUAUUUUGCGGCCAUGCGGCGACAUGUGCGUGCUGAGGAGGUUAUCCCCAAACCAACGCCAGCCGCACAAACACUCUGCCAAUUGCAGCCAUUUAAAAUGCAAUUACAAUAUGUGAGAAUGGACUAUGAUGGACUGGGAAACUGGGCAGCAGAUUUCCCUUUUGCCUAACACACAUAUCUCUCCUCACUUUGCCUUUCGUUCCACUCGACGGCUUUCUUAUGCCAAGGGCAAGCAAAAUUUUAUGGGUAAUAACAAGUGAGUUUCGAAACGCAUUGACCUGUCCCAAAAGAUGAGGAAGUGGGGCGGAAAGAGUCUGAAAAUAAGGUAAAAGUUCGCAGAGCAGAGCAGCAAGUUUUCCAUACCCUAACCAAGGAGGUUAUCUCAGAUCCAGGAAAUGUUUUGAGUAACCAAACAAGUAAUCAUAAAUUAAAGAAAAGCAUUCUUACUUCUUAAUCUAGAAGGGUAUCAGUUCUAGGGCUUUUUAAAUCACAUGGUAACAUAUCAGUUGUAAAAUGUGAAUAUAUUAUUUCCAAACUUUUUAAGUUCAUAGGGUAAGUGCUGAAAUCAUAUCUUCGAAUCACCGAGAAUAGAUGGCCUGAAAGUAUGCCAUUCGAAUUUUGUCUUCAACAACAUUCAGCUGAAGAAGUGAAGCGUGCAACAAAUUCCCGUGGACAAUGGACAUCUUUCGCAUUAGGCACACAGAGCCAAAUUGAAGUCAGUAAACUGGCAUUAAAGAGGGGAGAAAUCGGAGAAGCAGUCCCCACUUUCUCCAGGGGAACAACAAUAAUAACUUCGGACUGUGUACACAUCUCUUUUUCGUGGAACUCCCGAGCCCGGACCCAAAUUGUUUGACUAUGAGUCCGAUGUGAAGUGCUGGGUAAAUAUUUUAGGCUGGACAGUAGUGACUGGACAGAACGUGUGCCGUGUUAAAGUUGCAGCUUUUUGCGUUGGCUGUGCUGGCUGGGAAAAUAGCAGCACAUAACUGCAAAUGAAAUUUCGUAGAUUUCGCUCGAAAGUAAAUGAAGAAAAAUGUGCACAGACGAAUGAAUUGGCGAGCGUGAAGUGUAUGGAGAAAAUUGCGAAACACUUUGGCUGGCAAGUAGAAAAUAUUUUCAUUGUUGCUGACACCUCGGCGAACGCGAAGGAUGCAAGAUGGAGCGGCACCAAGGCGGAGCAACUUUUUAAUUAAGAAAUCUUGCGGAAAUUGCUUAAAUAUUUCAACUGCACUUGCAACUGUUUGUGGCCUAAUUGAGACGAGAUGGUGAUGGAAGAUGGAAGCUGGAAGAUGGGGAUGCAAACAUCUUAAAUGGCGGCCAACCCGUUUGAGAACAUUUAUUUAUGGCAAUAAAGUGC